UUACCGGCUUGACAUAGAGAUUCGGACAGGUGGUGCAUGGUUGUCGUCAGCUCGUGUCGUGAGAUGUUGGGUUAAGUCCCGCAACGAGCGCAACCCUGUUUUAGUUGCCAUCAUAUGGGACUCUAGGAGACUGCCGGUGACAAUCGGAGGAAGGUGGGGACGACGUCAAAUCAUCAUGCCCCUUAUGCCGGGCUACACACGUACUACAAUGGAUUACACAGUCAGAGUAAUCGGAGCAAUCCUCAAAUGUCCCAGUUCAGAUUGUGAGCUGAAACUCGCCCACAUGAAGUCGGAAUUGCUAGUAAUUGCAGUCAGCAUAUGCAGUGAAUACGUUCCCGGGCCUUGUACACACCGCCCGUCACACCAUGAGAGUCUGAAACCGAA
RNAcentral lists this ribosomal RNA (384 nucleotides) under uncultured bacterium. RNAcentral's name for it is "bacterial SSU rRNA". It matches the Rfam family "Bacterial small subunit ribosomal RNA", at positions 971 to 1425 of the family's 1533-position model. The record is from RNAcentral.